Acanthosepion pharaonis is the source of this 98-nucleotide non-coding RNA. The record is from the annotation of a GenBank genome assembly. NCBI's taxonomy places the organism in Eukaryota, Metazoa, Mollusca, Cephalopoda, Sepiida, Sepiidae.
UCUUGAAACACCGGUUCCCAUACAAUCACCAAAGUUAAGCAACAUCGAGCCUGGUCAAUAUCUAGAUGGGUGAUCACUUUGGAACACCAGGUGCUGUA